RNAcentral lists this ribosomal RNA (324 nucleotides) under uncultured eukaryote. RNAcentral's name for it is "partial 18S ribosomal RNA". It matches the Rfam family "Eukaryotic small subunit ribosomal RNA", at positions 1470 to 1796 of the family's 1831-position model. The record is from RNAcentral.
CCCUUAGAUGUUCUGGGCUGCACGCGCGCUACACUGAUGCGAUCAACAAGUUUUUCCUAUGUCGAUAGACACGGGUAAUCUUUUGAACUCGCAUCGUGAUGGGGAUAGAUUAUUGUAAUUAUUAAUCUUCAACGAGGGAUUCCUAGUAGGUGCAAAUCAUCAGUUUGCAUCGAUUACGUCCCUGCCCUUUGUACACACCGCCCGUCGCUGCUACCGAUUGGUUGAUCUGGUGAAUUAUUCGGACUGCCGGCUGAAGGGGUUUCCUCAUCUGCCAGCGGAAAGUCUUGUUAACCCUAUCAACUAGAGGAAGCAGAAGUCGUAACA